Molecule: ribosomal RNA, 468 nt
Filed under: uncultured bacterium
Lineage: Bacteria
Description: partial 16S ribosomal RNA
Rfam family: Bacterial small subunit ribosomal RNA
Source: RNAcentral
GACGAACGCUGGCGGCGUGCUUAACACAUGCAAGUCGAACGGAAAGGCCCUGCUUUUGUGGGGUGCUCGAGUGGCGAACGGGUGAGUAACACGUGAGUAACCUGCCCUUGACUUUGUGAUAACUUCAGGAAACUGGGGCUAAUACCGGAUAGGAGCUCCUGCUGCAUGGUGGGGGUUGGAAAGUUUCGGCGGUUGUGGAUGGACUCGCGGCUUAUCAGCCUGUUUGUGGGGUAGUGGCUUACCAAGGCUUUGACGGGUAGCCGGCCUGAGAGGGUGACCGGCCACAAUGGGACUGAGAUACGGACCAGACUCGUACGGGAGGCAGCAGUGGGGAAUAUUGCACAAUGGGCGGAAGCGUGAUGCAGCAACGCCGCGUGCGGGAUGACGGCCUUCGGGUUGUAAACCGCUUUCGACUGUGACGAAGCGGGAGUGACGGUAAUGGGUAAAGAAGCACCGGCUAACUACGUG